UACGGAGGAUGCGAGCGUUAUCCGGAUUUAUUGGGUUUAAAGGGUGCGCAGGCGGAUUUUUAAGUCAGCGGUCAAAUCGUGGGGCUCAACCCCAUCCAGCCGUUGAAACUGGGGAUCUAGAGUGUGCGAGAGGUAUGCGGAAUGCGUGGUGUAGCGGUGAAAUGCAUAGAUAUCACGCAGAACCCCGAUUGCGAAGGCAGCAUACCGGUGCACAACUGACGCUCAGGCACGAAAGCGUGGGUAUCGAACAG
This 251-nucleotide ribosomal RNA is filed under the name uncultured bacterium. RNAcentral's name for it is "partial 16S ribosomal RNA". It matches the Rfam family "Bacterial small subunit ribosomal RNA", at positions 524 to 775 of the family's 1533-position model. The record is from RNAcentral.